Long non-coding RNA from Pteronotus mesoamericanus, 187 nucleotides. RefSeq lists it as uncharacterized. Lineage: Eukaryota; Metazoa; Chordata; Mammalia; Chiroptera; Mormoopidae. The record is from RefSeq and is a predicted model, not a curated record. The transcript is spliced from 3 exons.
CCACUAUUUCCUUGGUGCUGAACUCCAGAGCAGCCUGUAUUUUAAAGGAAGACAAUGGGGAAUGGCAGGUGCAUAGAACUAGAGUUUGACCAGGACUUGAGAAAAAGAUUGCUGACCACUGACCUAGAGAUUCAGCCAUGGAUACCUUUGCUCAAAGCAGAGAAAAGCACAAUGUAGUAUUAGAAUG